RNAcentral lists this ribosomal RNA (327 nucleotides) under uncultured eukaryote. RNAcentral describes it as "partial 18S ribosomal RNA". It matches the Rfam family "Eukaryotic small subunit ribosomal RNA", at positions 1470 to 1796 of the family's 1831-position model. The record is from RNAcentral.
CCCUUAGAUGUUCUGGGCCGCACGCGCGCUACACUGAUGCAUGCAGCAAGUCUUUUCCUUGGCCGAGAGGCCUGGGCAAUCUUUGAAUAUGCAUCGUGAUGGGGAUAGACGAUUGCAAUUAUUCGUCUUCAACGAGGAAUUCCUAGUAAACGCAAGUCAUCAGCUUGCAUUGAUUACGUCCCCGCCCUUUGUACACACCGCCCGUCGCACCUACCGAUUGAAUGGUCCGGUGAAGGCUCCGGAGGCGUCUUUCUCAAUGUUUAUUCGGCGAGAUUGGUGCCAAAGUUGAAUGAACCUUACCAUUUAGAGGAAGGUGAAGUCGUAACA